AUAAAGGGUUAGGGUCACUCCAC
This 23-nucleotide small nuclear RNA is filed under the name Arabidopsis thaliana (thale cress). Its description in RNAcentral is "snRNA_01889". The record is from RNAcentral. Lineage: Eukaryota; Viridiplantae; Streptophyta; Magnoliopsida; Brassicales; Brassicaceae.